CCUACGGGAGGCUGCAGUGGGGAAUAUUGGACAAUGGGCGAAAGCCUGAUCCAGCCAUGCCGCGUGUGUGAAGAAGGCCUUCGGGUUGUAAAGCACUUUCAGUGGGGAAGAAAGCCUUGGGGCUAAUACCCUCGAGGAAGGACAUCACCCACAGAAGAAGCACCGGCUAACUCAGUGCCAGCAGCCGCGGUAAUACGGAGGGUGCGAGCGUUAAUCGGAAUUACUGGGCGUAAAGCGCGCGUAGGCGGUCUGAUAAGCCGGUUGUGAAAGCCCCGGGCUCAACCUGGGAACGGCAUCCGGAACUGUCAGGCUAGAGUGCAGGAGAGGAAGGUAGAAUUCCCGGUGUAGCGGUGAAAUGCGUAGAGAUCGGGAGGAAUACCAGUGGCGAAGGCGGCCUUCUGGACUGACACUGACGCUGAGGUGCGAAAGCGUGGGUAGCAAACAGGAUUAGAUACCCGAGUAGUC
RNAcentral lists this ribosomal RNA (465 nucleotides) under Vreelandella stevensii. RNAcentral describes it as "partial 16S ribosomal RNA". It matches the Rfam family "Bacterial small subunit ribosomal RNA", at positions 338 to 795 of the family's 1533-position model. The record is from RNAcentral. Lineage: Bacteria; Pseudomonadati; Pseudomonadota; Gammaproteobacteria; Oceanospirillales; Halomonadaceae.